Molecule: small RNA, 1047 nt
Filed under: Pan troglodytes (chimpanzee)
Lineage: Eukaryota; Metazoa; Chordata; Mammalia; Primates; Hominidae
Description: retained intron
Source: RNAcentral
UAUAAGAUGGCGGCGCUGAGCGGUGGCGGUGGUGGCGGCGCGGAGCCGGGCCAGGCUCUGUUCAACGGGGACAUGGAGCCCGAGGCCGGCGCCGGCGCCGCGGCCUCUUCGGCUGCGGACCCUGCCAUUCCGGAGGAGGUGUGGAAUAUCAAACAAAUGAUUAAGUUGACACAGGAACAUAUAGAGGCCCUAUUGGACAAAUUUGGUGGGGAGCAUAAUCCACCAUCAAUAUAUCUGGAGGCCUAUGAAGAAUACACCAGCAAGCUAGAUGCACUCCAACAAAGAGAACAACAGUUAUUGGAAUCUCUGGGGAACGGAACUGAUUUUUCUGUUUCUAGCUCUGCAUCAAUGGAUACCGUUACAUCUUCUUCCUCUUCUAGCCUUUCAGUGCUACCUUCAUCUCUUUCAGUUUUUCAAAAUCCCACAGAUGUGGCACGGAGCAACCCCAAGUCACCACAAAAACCUAUCGUUAGAGUCUUCCUGCCCAACAAACAGAGGACAGUGGUGAGUCAGUUUUAAUAUCACCAUUUUGCUGUUUCUUUGUAUUUUUCAGACAGAUCAGUUGUUGAAAAUUAAUAUAUUAUUACUUAAUACUCAAAGGUCAUGCAAAUAGAGGCAUCCAUGUCAUACAGGAAUGAAAAAUAUAUAAUUAUUUGGUGGCAAAGUCUAUAUUCCUUAACUGAAAUAAAUGGUAUUGUCUCUAGUGUUGGAUUUGACAUUUAAACCUGUCUGCCAAACUUGAACCACAGUCAUGUCUAAGCACUAGUUUAAAAUAAAUCAGGAUUUUAAGACUUGAGCUUGUUCAUUAUCUAAUGUGUGUCAGGUAAGACUCAUUCUUCACCCUUGAGAAAUCUCCUUUCUGAGUUAUAUUAUCAGAUGUUGAACGUUCAGUGUGAUUGAUAUGUUUCCCCUCAUCUACUUCAUUUUUGGUUGUUGAAUAUUAGUAUUACCAUUGGAACAGCGUACCCUGUAACAUUUGAAGCAUUUAAAGAGAAAUCUGUGGAAUUAUUGUGGGUGGUCUAUAAUCCUUAAGUGCAACGAAUAUUG